AAAUUGAAGAGUUUGAUCAUGGCUCAGAUUGAACGCUGGCGGCAGGCCUAACACAUGCAAGUCGAGCGGUAGCACAGGAGAGCUUGCUCUCUGGGUGACGAGCGGCGGACGGGUGAGUAAUGUCUGGGAAACUGCCUGAUGGAGGGGGAUAACUACUGGAAACGGUAGCUAAUACCGCAUAACGUCGCAAGACCAAAGAGGGGGACCUUCGGGCCUCUUGCCAUCAGAUGUGCCCAGAUGGGAUUAGCUAGUAGGUGGGGUAACGGCUCACCUAGGCGACGAUCCCUAGCUGGUCUGAGAGGAUGACCAGCCACACUGGAACUGAGACACGGUCCAGACUCCUACGGGAGGCAGCAGUGGGGAAUAUUGCACAAUGGGCGCAAGCCUGAUGCAGCCAUGCCGCGUGUAUGAAGAAGGCCUUCGGGUUGUAAAGUACUUUCAGCGGGGAGGAAGGUGUUGAGGUUAAUAACCUCAGCAAUUGACGUUACCCGCAGAAGAAGCACCGGCUAACUCCGUGCCAGCAGCCGCGGUAAUACGGAGGGUGCAAGCGUUAAUCGGAAUUACUGGGCGUAAAGCGCACGCAGGCGGUCUGUCAAGUCGGAUGUGAAAUCCCCGGGCUCAACCUGGGAACUGCAUUCGAAACUGGCAGGCUAGAGUCUUGUAGAGGGGGGUAGAAUUCCAGGUGUAGCGGUGAAAUGCGUAGAGAUCUGGAGGAAUACCGGUGGCGAAGGCGGCCCCCUGGACAAAGACUGACGCUCAGGUGCGAAAGCGUGGGGAGCAAACAGGAUUAGAUACCCUGGUAGUCCACGCCGUAAACGAUGUCGACUUGGAGGUUGUGCCCUUGAGGCGUGGCUUCCGGAGCUAACGCGUUAAGUCGACCGCCUGGGGAGUACGGCCGCAAGGUUAAAACUCAAAUGAAUUGACGGGGGCCCGCACAAGCGGUGGAGCAUGUGGUUUAAUUCGAUGCAACGCGAAGAACCUUACCUACUCUUGACAUCCAGAGAACUUUCCAGAGAUGGAUUGGUGCCUUCGGGAACUCUGAGACAGGUGCUGCAUGGCUGUCGUCAGCUCGUGUUGUGAAAUGUUGGGUUAAGUCCCGCAACGAGCGCAACCCUUAUCCUUUGUUGCCAGCGGUUAGGCCGGGAACUCAAAGGAGACUGCCAGUGAUAAACUGGAGGAAGGUGGGGAUGACGUCAAGUCAUCAUGGCCCUUACGAGUAGGGCUACACACGUGCUACAAUGGCGCAUACAAAGAGAAGCGACCUCGCGAGAGCAAGCGGACCUCAUAAAGUGCGUCGUAGUCCGGAUUGGAGUCUGCAACUCGACUCCAUGAAGUCGGAAUCGCUAGUAAUCGUAGAUCAGAAUGCUACGGUGAAUACGUUCCCGGGCCUUGUACACACCGCCCGUCACACCAUGGGAGUGGGUUGCAAAAGAAGUAGGUAGCUUAACCUUCGGGAGGGCGCUUACCACUUUGUGAUUCAUGACUGGGGUGAAGUCGUAACAAGGUAACCGUAGGGGAACCUGCGGUUGGAUCACCUCCUUACCUUAAAGAA
Molecule: ribosomal RNA, 1552 nt
Filed under: Enterobacter asburiae
Lineage: Bacteria; Pseudomonadati; Pseudomonadota; Gammaproteobacteria; Enterobacterales; Enterobacteriaceae
Description: bacterial SSU rRNA
Rfam family: Bacterial small subunit ribosomal RNA
Source: RNAcentral